This 207-nucleotide ribosomal RNA is filed under the name uncultured bacterium. RNAcentral describes it as "partial 16S ribosomal RNA". It matches the Rfam family "Bacterial small subunit ribosomal RNA", at positions 568 to 774 of the family's 1533-position model. The record is from RNAcentral.
UGCGUAGGUGGUGGGGUAAGUCGGAUGUGAAAGCUCGGAGCUCAACUCCGAAAUGGCAUUGGAAACUACCCUGCUGGAGGUUUGGAGGGGGGACUGGAAUACUUGGUGUAGCAGUGAAAUGCGUAGAUAUCAAGUGGAACACCAGUGGCGAAGGCGAGUCCCUGGACAAAACCUGACACUGAGGCACGAAAGCUAGGGGAGCAAACA